Molecule: small RNA, 285 nt
Filed under: Aureimonas sp. Leaf460
Lineage: Bacteria; Pseudomonadati; Pseudomonadota; Alphaproteobacteria; Hyphomicrobiales; Aurantimonadaceae
Description: 5' ureB small RNA
Rfam family: 5' ureB small RNA
Source: Rfam by way of RNAcentral
UCGUCGAUCUGCUGGGGGGCGAUGAAGUGGAUAUGCGCGUCGAUGCCGCCGGCGGUGACGAUCUUGCCCUCGCCCGCGAUCACCUCCGUGCCGGGGCCGACCACGACCGUGACGCCGGGCUGCGUGUCGGGAUUGCCGGCCUUGCCGAUGACCGCGAUCCGCCCGUCGCGCAGGCCGAUAUCGGCCUUGUAGAUGCCGGUAUGGUCGAGGAUCAGCGCGUUCGUGAUGACGGUAUCGACCGCACCCUCGGCCCGGCUCGCCUGGCUCUGGCCCAUGCCGUCGCGA